RNAcentral lists this long non-coding RNA (308 nucleotides) under Arabidopsis lyrata. RNAcentral's name for it is "long non-coding RNA (ALYR_LNC000075)". Lineage: Eukaryota; Viridiplantae; Streptophyta; Magnoliopsida; Brassicales; Brassicaceae. The record is from RNAcentral.
GUGGAAGCCCCCUUGGCCCAUUGGUUGACCAAGGGUUGAUUAAUGCUUCUACACUAAAAGGUCUGGGGUUCGAGUCCCAGAUAUUGCGAUUUAUUAACAAAUUUGCAGAUUAAUUGAGGCAAGUGUGCAGGAGGUCUCCAGCGAUGUACAAUUAUAGCCGUGCGCCAGGAUUCUACGCAGAGAAGGAAGUGUCGCUAGGUCGUGGAUCAUUGAAGGUAUUCAUCAAGAUCAUGAAGAAGGAAGUGUAGUCUGUCGUGGAUCUACUAAGGGUCGGCAGAAAUUGUCAGUUGUAGAAUCGUCUAUGUAAC